AGGGGAUCCUUGGGUGAGUUCUUCCGCCGCCCCGCCGCAUUCCUGACUUAUCUUCCCCGAUGUCAGGCAGCAGGUCGGAGCGGAGGAGGAGCUGGUCCAAGGAUCCUUUCCCA
Non-coding RNA from Nesterenkonia sp. AN1, 113 nucleotides. The record is from Rfam. NCBI's taxonomy places the organism in Bacteria, Bacillati, Actinomycetota, Actinomycetes, Micrococcales, Micrococcaceae.